GCCCACGUGCAGCUGCCAGCACUGCCCAUCUCCUCCCGUCCCGCACUGUGUUUGCAGUUUCCCUGCUCUCUGGCUGUUGCUUCAGAGCUCAGGUCGUGAGGAGUUCUGCAAAAUGCAAAGGGGAUGUUUCAGAUGAAGCAGGACACAAUUAAAAAGAUAUGAGAUCUGCUGUGACCAUUGCUGCUGACAGAACUGCAUCAGGGAGGGCUCUGAGCCCACGUGGCAGUACGUGUUCUCCACAUUUAUUAUUGAUGAGACAGAUGUGCACAGAGCACUCGUGUAAAUCCUUGCUUAGACAGCACUGUUCACAGAGCACGUUCUUCAUGUGAGCAUCUUUAAUGAACACGUAGCACUUUUUACCAAACCUUGCUGUUUUUUGAGGAACCAGAGGGUGUGUGGCAGGUCCCAGCUGAUGGUAGGGAAAAGGCCAAGGCUGCUUGGGAAGGGCACUUGCAUCCCAUGCAUUUACUCCUGGCAUCUGCCUGUCUGAAACAGGCCUUGUGCAUGCAGAGAGGAGCUGUUUGGGGCUUGUGGCUUCGUGAUAAGGGGUAUGCAUUGAAUUCUACAAGCACAUAUCACAAAAACUUCUGACCUUGGCCAUGCACAAGUGUAAGAGAGAACCCAGUUGUUACUGGCGUUGUGUUGGUUUUGCCUGCUUUGCCUUCCCAACAGGCAAAGCAAAGCACAGAAACAACUCAGCCAGAGUUGCCGGUGCCAGGAGAAAAGUCAGCUCUUCUGAGCACAAGGGCAGCGUUCAGUUUAACACUCCUGCCUUCUCUAAGGAUCUGACAGCAUAAUUUAGCUGUACUGUAAUUUACUGUGCUGUGUUACGUGUCCUACAUUACAGUGAGGCUGACCAAGUUUGUAAUUUUAGAGUAUAUGAUCAACAUGCCGCUCAUUUUUCCAUUAUCAGGGAAGUCUGUAAUUUAUCUCCCUCCCUCACGUCUCGUACUGGAGCAUUUCAUUUCCAUGACUGUGAAUUAUCAGCAUCCAAUCCUUGAAGCUACGAUUGGAGAUAAUAGCCUAAAGUUUCCCAGGUGAAUAAUUACUCCGGUUGUCCAGCCUGUGAUAUCUUUGAGAGCUUUUUUCCCCUGCAGAGGAAAGCAUUCUGCCUUUUCUGAAGACCGUGACCUUCUACGGUGACUGAAACCUAUUUUGGUUGAACUCUUAUUUGUGUGAAGUCUGUCAUUACGUGUUCUUCUCAGCUUGUUGUCUGUAACAGAUACUUUGACGUGAGAUUGCAGAACUGCUCAAAAUACUCUGGAGCAGAAGUUCCAGUGGAAGUUCUUGGGAUCUGAGAUUUUUCAGUUGUGUUUAUUUAAAAAUCCUGUCGUUGUUGCCUGGCAAUUACUGUUUAACACAGUCAGAACAAAAUUAUCAAGUCGAUAUUUUGGAGGCAGAAAGGCAAUUAGCUUCUCCAUUCGCACUCAAGAGGAGUCAGGUACUGUUAAUGAAGUCCCAUGUUUACCUUUGAAUCUCUCCUCUAGCAUGGAAACAUGGAAUUUGGCGCAAAUAUUUGUCCCAGUUCUACUGCACAAACUGUGCAAUGAAUACGUGAGGCUAUCUGCACAUGAAUUCAGCCUCUCCAGGGCUUUUGAGACAGCAAGAUCCCCUAAAUACGUGGUUGGUCUUAAUAUUCUUGUCACAGGUCUGAUUUAUCCCGGCCGAUGCUUGCAGGACUCUCAGUGGACACUGAUGUUUAAGCACAAUGAGCUUUGCUCUUGAGGCAGCUGCUGGUGAUCCCAGGUAUUCUUGGUUUGCUUUCUGCAAAAGCUUCAUUUUUUAGCAGAAACGCUUGGGAAUUUUCUCCAGGCCGGGCUAAUUUCUAGCAAGCAGAUGUUGCCAAGGGAUUUUCUUAUCUUAGCCUGUUGGAGCUUCAAAAGAACAAGUUGAGAGGCUUAAGGAUCCUAUAAAAGUACUCGGCGAGGGGUUAAUGAAGAGCACGUUGAACACAUGGCUAAUGGAUGUUGUUGUGAGACGCUUUGCAUGUGGUUACGGGGUUUUCAGAGACAUCGCUCCUUCCGUAGGCAAGCAGCGGGCUGUUGGUCACUAGUGGGCACAGCUGUGGGUAGCUGUUGUGUUUUUGUGCAGCACUCCAUGCCUACAGGUAAAGAAUUGGGCAGUUUUAACACAUCAGCAAACCUGACCAACUGUUCGGAGCCAUCCGCAAGGUUUUGGGAUAGCAGCACGCCCAGCAUUUCUCCACAAGGGCAAUCUGCAUGGUCCGUCAUCUGUGGCAAUGCGAAGGUUUAAAAUGCUCCAUUGUAAAUGACGGGAAGGCUCAGACAUUGCUGUGGGACUGUCAGUGCCUGUGCAGGGUGUAGUUCGGCCUCCUCUGUGUUUUGCUCAUCUUCCUCAGUACAUCUGUGCCAAAGACAUUUCUUCUGCCUGCACGGCUUGUUCCGCGACCCAUCAGAUUCCCCGGUGCUGAUGACUUCCAUUGAUGUCAAGACUACGCUGGCUGACACAGCCAGACAGGUGUGUCACUGCCAUUGGUCAAACCAGCUCAGAAACUUAGGAGAUUUUCUGAAAGUGGAUGUUACUUGCUCUAAAGGUAAAAUAUUAUUCGAUUUUGUUUUAAGGAAGUGGAAACGUGAAAACCAUUUGCUUCAAUCUUGCAGAGAUUUUGAGUAAGAAAUAUCAUUAGAUUUAGGAAAAGUGGUUGACUACAAAGAUUCACUCUGUAUAAUUCACUAGAAGAUGAUAAGAAUUUGAUUUUUUCUAAUUUCUUUUAGGUACUUCAGCUUUUAACUGACCUUCUGUAAUUGUAAGGUAAAGUUCAUUCUUUGUGAGAGGCACACACUUCUGGGAUAUUUAAAAUUUUCCAAAACACAUAUGCUCUGUUAGAGCUAAGUGUUUUAUUGCUGUUUCAAACAACAUUAGAUGUUUUAUGGAUCACAGACAUGCCAGACUAAGUGUAUCAUAUGCCCAGUGUCAGAAGCAGUUCUGGGUCUGUCUGGGCUUUGGACGGGUGACCUGCUUGCUGCAGAGCCUGACGAGUUGUGAACCAGGAGAGGACAGAAGCUGGGUAAAUGGGAAGAUCCAACCACUCUUGGCCCAUCUUGGCUGCAGAGCCCAGAAAGAUGAUUUAAUGAACAUGAAAAUAUCCACACACCUCCAGGGUCAGUCUCGUUUUUGGCUCACAAGGUGCCAAGGAGCGAUGGCCACGCUUUGGGAAGCACAGAGCUCUGCCCUAGGAGCACCGUGGUUUUGGUGGAAGGAUGUCUCUGGGUCUUAAAUACUGCUAAUGGUACGGUGACAGCCCUCUUCUAUCAGGGCAUGACCACAAGGGGCUGGGCAGAGCCCAUAAACUUCUCUUGAUGCUCAUCAAGCAGUCGCUGCUUGUAACAGCUUUUUAUUCCUGACCUGUGGACUCAGAUUUUAAAAGCAAACCAGGGUCUUGAGCCCGUGCCCUGAUGAGAGUUGCUAGGAUAUAGCCUCCGUAAUUCUCAAGGGUCGUUGUUUUAGAGGUGUGAGGUCUGCAGAAAUCUGGCACGUAAAUGCUUGCAGAGGUCUGCCCUAGCGUCGGGUUUGAAAACGCCGAGCUGCUGGAGUGAAUUGCGCUGACACACCGAAAAGCAGCCCAGCCCUCCUCCUCAUCCCCACCCACGUAAUGAAGAGAGCCAUUAAUUUUCAUCUGCCACAUCGUGAACUGUGGUCCCCUGGGAGCUGCUGCAGGCUCAUCUCUGUGGGAGCAGAAAGCCACAGGGCAGGGGGGGAGAGAGCAAGGACCGGGAGCUGCUUCAGCCGUGCGAUAAAACCAACCCCGAAUCCACAGCAGAACAUCAUCCUGGGGAAGGUUUAGCUUAUCCAGACCCCAUGGAUGUAAAAGAAUAUGAGAGCUCUCCUAUUGCAUCCUGAAGCAGUCCAUUGCUGGGGUAAUUUAGUUCUUGAUUUUGUAUUUUAUUUUAUUUUUAUGUCCCGGCAGCUUCCCUCUUUCCCAAAUGGGCAUGUCAUCGGUAUUGUAAAGUGUUAUAAAAACAUAGGGACAACCACCCCAAAAGCUGUAGACUUGUUAAUCAAUAUUUGGAGACACACAUGUCUUGUUAGAACUACAAGCUUAGCCACAAAAAUGUAUUAAAAAAGACAUUUUUCUUCCAAAGCUAAACCAGCAACACAUGAUCAUAAUGAAAUGAGUAAGUAUUGUAAUUGGAUAUUGUAUCACGUUGUAUGGCUUUAAUUUAAGACAACAAGCAGCAAUUCAAUAACACAGAGGCCGCUAUUGCUUCUGAAACACUUUCAUGCCUGAAGGAUAAGUGAAUAUCUUAAAAUAAUUGUGGAUUAUUUCUCUUGCAGUACCUACAAGAAAAAGAGGAGAAGAAAAGUCUGAGUUUUACAAGAGCCCAGUACCUGGUUGGGGAAGCAUCGGGCGUGUGGUGUGGUGUGGGACGGACAGACCAAGGCAAAAUCCUUGGCUGGGAUAGUCACCCAGUAGGGCUCACAUGGUUUCACACGCUGUAUUCCUCCAAGUCCAGGCAAUGUGCAGAUUUCAAAGAUCAGGGGGUGUUUUUUUUUUCCCCAGUUUGCUUUGGAUACACAAACCAUUGUGGACAGCACUGCACUGCUAUUAUUUUCCUCGCAAACCUGAAUACUUGUGCUGGUAUUCAGCUUGGCACUGGUAUUCAAUCCACUUGGGGUUCAGGUUUUAUAUGGGAGCUUGUCCUUGCGCCGUAUUCAUCACUUCAGUGAGAAAAUGGAUAGAUAGUGGGAAAACGUUAUUAUUUUUUUCCUCUAAGAGAUGGAUGUCCAAGCUUGUGGUGUAGCCAGUAUGGCCCUGCAAAAGUAUGACCACUGCUGGCACUUCUUGUAUGAAAGGAUGCAGAAUAUUUGCAUUAGGUAAGGAAUGGAUGAGGUAAAAAUGAAGCAUAUUUUCUAACGGUUAGUAUGUGUGUAAGACAGAGUGAGGAAGAAAGGGAAGGGAGUGUUUAUAUUUUGUAUUUAAGGGAGUCUAUAUGAGUGAAGGGUGAUGAAAAAGGAGUCCAAAGUCUGAAAAGGUACAGCUCAGCCAGCAGGUGAGCACAACCUUCUCCAACAGCUCUGCCUCAUCUCCACCUGUGAGAUGCUCUCAGCAUCGCUACCCGUGCCCAUUUCUGCUGCCCAGCAUCACUGCCUCGCUGCAUGUCCAUCAUGUGUCCAUCAUCAGCAGACAGCGCCGUGGUGAGGUCUCCUCAACCGCUUCCUCCAUGCCCCUGAAAUGAGGACAACAGGCUGGGACACUCUGCUGUGUGUCUCUGAUUUCCUCUGCGAUAAAAUUAUCCUCUUACCACGCUCUGCCUGAUGCUGACGGACUACAGAGGAGAGGCAGCAGGUUCUGCACAGCCCAGUGCAGGGGAGGCAGGACACAACAGGACGCCCACCGCUACAACAUCUCCACAGACAAAAACGAUUUUAAUGUGCUGCAAUUCACUAACAUUUGCUUCAGCCCUGGAAUCUAAGUGGGGAUGAGUUACUGCUGUUGUGUGGCUCCCUGCUCCAUCUGCUCCUGAAAUGAUCAUUCCACAUGAUACAACAGAACAACUUCUGAAGCAAAUUGGACUGACUUGAGUUGAGGAAUAAUCAAGAGGAGAUCUCGGGAAUGAAAGGUCUUUCUUUCAAUGGUGAAGGUGAAGUCAAAUAACAAAGGAGGCUGGAAAAAUAAAGCAGGACAUUUCCAGUACAGGCCGGCCAGUGGGGAGCUGUGGAUAUUGGUCAAGAAUAUGCUGACCUUAAGCAGGAGGGCUUUUGUAACCCCUGGUUUUGGCAACAGUUGGAGAGGUCUGUUGGUGCUCACCAGAAAUACCGGUUACACGAACAGCUCUUCCUUUGGUAAGUGCCUUCAGAAACGAAGGAGCACUGAGGUUAACUUCGGAGCAUAAAUCCUCUGGGUGUCUCUGCUCUCCUGCCAGGUCCAGUUUUUUGUCUGCCUUCCCCUGAGCUGCCUGCACCCACCAGCAGGGCACAGACUUCCUUGGCUUUUCCAGACUGUCCCCUUUGACUCAGUCCCACCUCUUGGGGUGCCCGUGCAUCGCCUCACCCCACAAGUUUUAACGAGGCAGCAGCAGACCUCAGACCCCAGCACCCCACUACGUUACUCCAGCCAUGUCCAAAGCUCACUUCUGUUAUUUCCCUCAAAAACUAACAAGGGUUUGUCUUUCUGCCUAAGCCCCCCCAGCCCUGCAAUGCAAAAGUCUUUCUCUAGACCUUUGGCCAAAGCCUGAAUCUCUCCAGACCACGUAUAACCAAGGUGUUUCCUUCCUUGCAAUGCCUCUUCUUCAGCAGCUCCUCUGCAGCCAACCUCUCUGCUGCUGCAGCAGGAAAAUGUCUCCUGGCCCCUUCCUGUGGGUGCAGCCCUAUCUGUCACCUGCACGUUUCCCUACCUCACCGUGCAGUCUGUUUGCAGACUGUGGAACAGUUCACACGAGCUCGCAGUUCCUCCUUCCCACAGCCCUAAUUGAAUUUUAACCAGCUGCUGUCACAGCCCGGGCCUCAUUUGUUAGCCAAUUCCUUGUCCAAUUGAUUAUUUCACUAGCCUUGCUGUUUUAACAGCCUUAUUGAAGUUCAUGUAAAUCAUAUCUCCGAUUUCACUCCUGGGCUCUCUUGCUGUCCCUUUCGCGGAGAUAUGAAUCAAACAUUAAUAUUGAUCAGCAUUUAAUGCCAGACACAAAGGAAAAUUUGCUUUCAUGUAAUAUGAAAUAUUAAUAAAACAUUAAUGAGGGCAAAGGAGAAGGCUGCAAACAUGAUAGCCAGCUCAUCUCUUUCCUCCAGCUCUAAUACGGCAUUAAGACGUCUGCAUUACGUGGCGGCUGGGGCUAUCCAGCCUCCAUUGAAAUUUAGAUUUGAUUCCUAAGUCCAGCUUGGGAAAAGUCAAGGGACUCACCACUCGAACGGAUUGACUGAGGCAUCUCAGGUGCUUUUAUCCUCUGUACACACAGGAUGGCUCCUCAAAUACUGUACUCUCAAUUUUAACAUCAAACGUUUUAUCAGAGUUGGACUGUGUUAAUCGCAUUCAAAUGCUGUGACUCAUUUAACCGGACACUUUACCCAUAUUCUGGUAUCCAUUCUGCAUGAAGCCGUGUUUCUGAUGGUGUGAACUGCUGCUCAAAAAGCAGCAACUGAGAUCAAGUAGUCAAAGGGACUUCGACAGAUGAGUCCCAGUUUUGAUUUUGGAUAUUGGGCUCGCUUUAGGCUAUUCCUUAGGAAAUUCUGAUGUAGAACUCAAAUGCAGUUAAGUGCCUUCUCAUUACUCUCCUAUUAGCUCAAGAGUGCAGCGAGAAGGAGAAAAUCGUGAGUUCAGGUGUAGAGAAAAGAACCAGAAGUUAAAUGCAGCUGAACGUGCUUGGAGAAUUUGAAAAUAAAGAAGGCAAAAUGAGAUAAUGAGAUGUAAAACGUGCCUUUAAUCUGAGUUUUAGCCACGGCAGGAGAUCACAUCUGAGUUGCACCAAGACAGGCAGUGCUCACUCUCUGCUGGGUAAAGGUAAUCAGGGAUAAAGCAAUAAGAAAAUAGAAGGGUAGGGAAAAAAAAAGAAAAGAAAAGAAAAGAGGGAAAUAUAGGAUGAGAAGAACGGAAGACCAAGAGAUGACUGAGAACACAAGCACGUCUAUAAAGGAAAAAGACGUCAGAGUACUGUGUUGUGAAAUUAGUUUGUUCAGUGCAGAUUGCAGAGUGAUUCCACUGGAUAAAUCCAUUUACUUGGGUAUACAAAGGCAUUGCUGGAUGCAAUUCCGGUGCUUUGGGUUUGAUGCUCUCCUAGGUUAUGCCUCACUUGGAUGUUGUUUAUGCAAGAGAGAAGCAGCUGUAAUCUGAGAGCAAUUGUCAACUAAUAACAGGAUAGAAGAAAAGCAGGGCUAAGAAGAUUGAGAGCCACCUAAUCUGGAGAUCUGUCAUUGUACUUCAAACAUCAGUUCUUGCCAGGAAGAAGAGCCACUCUGACCCUCUUACCCCAGGCUGGUUUUUCACAAUGAACUUUGAAGAUGUUUCAUUGUUUACCAGCAUCUGCUGAUCGUUUGAUCUCAAGUUAAGUGUAGCCCCUGCUGGAUUUACGAGCUGCUGAAAGAAAGAGAAGCAGAGUUAUAUUUCUACCACGCCAUAGAGAACUAGAGAUGCUGCAGUCUUCUAAAUCAUCAUCGCUUGUUAGGAAAACUUUCAUUUUCACUGCUGCUGGAUGACAGUUUGUUUUAAUUUUGCUUUCUAAGUAUCCUCUCCAUCAAUGACCUUCACCCUGUGUAAGUGGGAAUAUAAAGCAAUUGACAUGAAAUCAAUAUUAAUUCAGGAGCGUGUAGGCCUUUUUCCUCCUUUUGUAACAGAUACUUAUCAGGGUGUUACAACCUGGCCCUCUGAAGCCAUCGAGCUUCUGAACUCAGGACUGUGCAGCACCCAGAGGGAUGCUCUGAACAACCACAGGCUGUGUUGUGUGUGCUUGACUAUGGACCAAGAAAAAAUGUCAGUUUUGCUGUUGUGUUUUAUCAAAAAAGCAAUCACUGCACUUAUUUCCAAGACUCAGACUAACCAGUCCAAACUUCACAGCUGGUUCACUCUGAAGUUUUUUCAAGAACUGCUUGGUUUGGCCAGUGUUUGAGUAGUGCAGGUCUGACACAGUUUUAUUUUGUUUCAUUUUAGGUAGAAGUGCAGGUAGAUAAAAAUAUAGUGCUUUUGUUUGUAUUUAAUGGGGCUAAAACAGUGUUUGUCACUUGUGAACCUAGGAUCAAGACUUAGAUUUUCCAUCUGCUACAGCAGAUCAGAUUUUAGUGGAAGGUCAAACAGAUGUUGCUGGGAUUUUAUUGAGAUUUAUUGAGAAUACUGGUGAUGUGGGAGACAAAAGCUGACACGUGGAUCAGUGUGGCGAUGGAGUCACGGCAGGAUGCUACAUCAGCUGGCUCUGCUGGAGACUAAGCUAUGAACAGUUUCAUAUUUAAAGACGAAAAUAUGCUAUUCCAUGUAGAUUUGAAACAGGAAACACUGGAAGGAUUUCAGGAGAAACUUGCUUUGCAAAGAGCAAUGGGAUAAGAUGAUUUUAGGGUCAACGUUUUAGGAGAUGGAAGGAAAAUGAGGCUGUGGUGCAGAUAACAGUGGAAAACCUUCCAGGCUUUUAUCAGGAACUAACACAAACAGCCUUGAACACAAGGGCUUGAGCUCAGGAGAUCUGGGGUUUAUUUCUGACAUUGCAACUUAUUUGAAACAGUGAACGAGCCUUUUUAUUGCUCUCAGCCUCAGUUUCCCCUGCUUAAAAAAGGCAGUCGUGGGACGACCUCCCUUUAUAACAUACGUGUUAUGUAUUUUUUAAGUGUUCAGUAAAAGUUUAGCUCUAUUCGUUGCACCUAUGAAAAGCUUUUCCAGUAGCCCUAGCCAAUGAUGAAAACAAGAACACAUCAUCCAGGGGGCUGGAUGCUCAGCGUGUCUCUUGUCAGUGUGAGGAGAGCAGCAAGCUGCAGCUGCUGUGCACAUCUGCCCUCUGCAUCCCGUGCCUCUGAGAAGAAUGAAGGAUUUCAGAUUGCAGGGCUGUUAAUCUGGUACCUUUAACCAGGUAUCAAUAAAAAGAGGGGAAAAUGAUGAAUCAUCAGUCUCGGGUGCUUGUUAAGUGUUCUUGUUAGACACUAUUUCCAAUGGUCCGUAGCUUUACCCUGCCAAGAGUAAUUCUGUUCAUCUUCCUGGCUGCCCAGCAGAUGAGCAGAGUGACUGACAGCAGAAAUAUUCCAAAACAGGGGAUAUUAAGCAGGCACAGUGAUGACUGAUGUCUGCUGUUCUCCCGGUGGAGUUAUCACUCCUGUGAUUUACUUUGACUCUGGUGACACUUUUGCCCUUGAGGAUUUCUCUCCUUCUUUGCAGAGCUCUGAGCACUUCAAGUUUUGCGAAGAGCCGUGCAGGGAGGAUCUUCUGCGUUUCCAUCAGCCACAGGAGGUGAUCAAAUGGGGCUUUCCCAGUGCCAGCAAAUGUCGUGAAUGCCCUGAGACCUGUGCCAGGUCUCUGCUAAGGUCCUGAUGUCAAACUGUGGAGACCUCGGACGGCCAGGGACUGCCCUAUCUGUGAGUUGGUGCCAUCGUCUCGCACCAACACAGCAGUUUGUGCAAGGGGGUGGCCGCCUGAUUUUUCAGAUUAAGGCAAGAGUAUAAACAAGGGAGGAUCUUUAGCUCCGAAACCGAUUUCUGUCCAAAAGUUUGUUGGCUUUCAGGAUGUGCUGGCUCACAUGGUGUGUGCAGAGGUUACUUACAGGGUGGCUGGAUGGGAACACAGAGAAAGGCAGGAGAGGUAUUGGUGCUUUAUCAGCCGAGGCAAGCAGUGCAUGCAUCUCCCUACAUUGACGUAUGCAUCACAGCAUAUAAAUAGAUGUCAAGGGUAAGUUCAUACAGUGUCAGACUAGAAGGAUGUGAUGUAACAACUUCAUUAUCAUAUUUCUAUCUUCCUAAUUGCACUCCCCUUAGAUCACUUGCAAGGCUAUGCUGGAUUUCCGUGUAAUAGGAUCAAGUUUUAUUUGAUCUUAAGCCUUUUUCAACGGGAAGCUGAAAUGAAAGGCAAGAUUCAGAAAAGAGCAUAAAACUUAUUGCCUAAAUCUAAUACCAGGAGGUAUUUUCUCUUAACAGAACUUUCUGCCUGUAAACGUGUGACCCAUUUCCCAGAGUCUCCCCGUGCAUUUAUUCGACACUGGGUACAAGAAAUGAACACCAAGGACUUCAGAGGUCGGGUUGGCCAUGUGCUAAGCAAAGCAGCAGUGAUGUGUAGGGAAGUGAUGUUUGGCAGGGUGCAAAAGGAAGAAACACGCCUCCUGCAUGGAUUAUGAUUUUGGUUUCAGUCAUAUUAGUAUCUGGUCUCAGACAUCACCUCCAAUCCCGAAGUACUUUGGGAUUCUGUUGUCAAUGUUGGGUUUAGUUGCUGGUUAUUUUAAGUGACAGUUGUAAGGAAAAAAUAUGUAGAAAGCCCUCUUUAAAGAUGAUCAGCUUUUGUAGGAAACAGCCAAGGGAAAGCAACUGGUGUUUGUCAUAACAUGAUAAAUUGUGACAUAGUGUUCUGCAAAGGAUUAUUUUAAACUUUUCCUUGUCCUACUGCACUUGUCGGAGACUGACAGGAAAGUCUUGCUGCCUCAAAGUGCUGCUGACAAGAUUGAAGGUGUGUUAAGAAAACUGCUUUCUCCUGGGCAUGAAGUUAUUCUGACAGCCACCAGGCAAAUGUAUUCCAGUAAUCUACUGCCACUUCAUGUGCACUGCAGAGAACUGGAGACUGCUGCAGGAAAAAUAAGACCUGUGUUAAUACUGUGUGAAAUAAUAAUAAUACCUCUUCAUUCAGUAGAGAAGAAUGGGAAUUGCAGUAAUUAUUAUUAUUUUUUUGCAUAUGUGCAUAUCAUUAUUGCAGUCAUUUCACAGAUGCAGACAUUGAGUUCCCAAAAAGGCAUCUUAAGAAAUCCCACCUUCAGCUGUAUGCUCGCACUUUGGUUUGUGCUGCAGGCUCUCACAAGGGCAGAACUGAACGUGGGUGAGUCUCAGGCUCACCACCAGCCACAGCUGACCUGUGAAGAAGUUGGUUUGACAAACUGGCUUGUGUGGAUGGUUGUAGCUCUACGCUAUGAUACAGAGCCAUGGUAGAUGCACUCCAUCCAAGUAUGCCAGGUAGCUGCUCUAAUAGGAUCUUGCUAAAUUGUAGAGUUUCUGGGACAGCGAGAGACGAGUGAAGAAAAUGAACAGGAAAAGUUAGUGGAACCACACUGAAGAGUCUUACUGAAGGGUUUUUUUUAUUCAAUAUUAGUCUUAUUCAUGGCUGCUGUCAGCAUGAUAAUUGCCAGAAAGACACGCAGGGCUCCUGCUUUGGGAACCAUCACUGAAAGUUGGGAAGGAGCCCCCUGGCUGGAUCAAUGCCCGAAUGAUGCCCGCUGCAGCGUGCUGUGGGCAGCCCGGGGCUGUGUCUGCAAGGACUGGGCUGGCAAAGGGCUGGUGAUGGCUGAACCGUGCAGUCUGCACUCCCAGAGCAGCAUCUGAGUGCACUUCCAGGGUGGCUAGCAAAGUUAAAAAUGCCUUGGCAUAAAACCGCUGGGCUUUAUCCUCCCCAUAAAUUUGCCCAAGGACUAGGAGUGUUUUAAGGCACAUCAACCUAAAGAAGUUUUAGAGUACGCCGGAAAAGAGCUAUAGUGCUGCAAUUUACAGCCAGGAACAUUCACCUGGACAAUAAGAAGCCUGGUGCAUUGAGCUGAAAAAUAUGCUGCAGUGUAUGGUAUUGGCUUGUUUGUAAUAAAACACUAGCCUGGUACAUUUUAUUGGUUUUACAGCCAUUUAUUGUUUUGUUUUCAGAAAUACAGUAUGUAAGCAAAACCAAUAAAAUAGUUUAUUACAUGGUAAUUGCUCAAGAAGAGAAAGGCUUAUCAGAGGAGGCAUCGCGUGAUCUCUUAGAAGUACUUGGUGGGUCUUGUGUAUCCAGAGACAAAAUGGAGGGGGAUGGCUGAACACCAUCCCGAGUCCUCUGUUGUCUUUCCUGGGGCUGGACAGAGAGUUUUCACAAGGUCUUGGACAAUUUCCCAUGUGCUUUAUCAGUAGGAGCACAAAUGAGCCAAGAAUGCAAAGCAGCAGCACAAU
Long non-coding RNA from Anas platyrhynchos (mallard), 12531 nucleotides. RefSeq lists it as uncharacterized. The record is from RefSeq and is a predicted model, not a curated record. NCBI's taxonomy places the organism in Eukaryota, Metazoa, Chordata, Aves, Anseriformes, Anatidae.